UACGUAGGGGGCAAGCGUUGUCCGGAAUUAUUGGGCGUAAAGAGCGUGUAGGCGGUCCGGUAAGUCAGCUGUGAAAGUCAAGGGCUCAACCCUUGAAAGCCGGUUGAUACUGUCGGGCUAGAGUCCGGAAGAGGCGAGUGGAAUUCCCGGUGUAGCGGUGAAAUGCGCAGAUAUCAGGAGGAACACCAACGGCGAAGGCAGCUCGCUGGGACGGUACUGACGCUGAGGCGCGAAAGCGUGGGGAGCGAACAGG
Molecule: ribosomal RNA, 253 nt
Filed under: uncultured bacterium
Lineage: Bacteria
Description: partial 16S ribosomal RNA
Rfam family: Bacterial small subunit ribosomal RNA
Source: RNAcentral